AAAGUCGUAACAAGGUUUCCGUAGGUGAACCUGCGGAAGGAUCAUUCACAAAACGCAUCAUAUGUGUAGCGUACCCUCGGGAGUGAGUCCUAUUUAUAAUGAUAUUACUAUUAUUAUAAAAGAGGGCCGUACGUAAAUGUGGCUCCCGAGCGCUAUUCACGCUUGUCAUGUUUGUCAGAUAGUGGUUGGGAUGGAAACAGUAAUAAGAGACAACUUUUAACAAUGGAUCUCUUGGCUCUU
This 240-nucleotide unclassified non-coding RNA is filed under the name Basidiomycota sp. Its description in RNAcentral is "partial contains small subunit ribosomal RNA, internal transcribed spacer 1, and 5.8S ribosomal RNA". The stretch from base 1 to 47 matches the Rfam family "Eukaryotic small subunit ribosomal RNA", at positions 1785 to 1831 of the family's 1831-position model. Lineage: Eukaryota; Fungi; Basidiomycota. The record is from RNAcentral.